Molecule: ribosomal RNA, 624 nt
Filed under: Apiomerus geniculatus
Lineage: Eukaryota; Metazoa; Arthropoda; Insecta; Hemiptera; Reduviidae
Description: eukaryotic LSU rRNA
Rfam family: Eukaryotic large subunit ribosomal RNA
Source: RNAcentral
UCCGUCUUGGAAGCACGGACCAAGGAGUUUAUCGUGUACGCAAGUCAUUGGGUGAAUAAAACCCAAAGGCGAAAUGAAAGUAAAGAGUUGAGCAUAAUUUAAAAAAAUUUUUUUUUCUUUUAUGUUCCUCUUAAGGGAAGAUAGAAAUUGCUUUAAUAAUAGUUUUAAACUUGUUUUAUAACUAUUUGUUAAUGUUUAAUUUCUCGCACUCCCAGGGCGCUUGUUUAACGCUUGCGUGGCAAUGCGCACCUAGAGCGUACACGCUGAUACCCGAAAGAUGGUGAACUAUGCCUGGCCAGGACGAAGCCAGGGGAAACCCUGGUGGAGGUCCGCAGCGAUUCUGACGUGCAAAUCGAUCGUCGGAGCUGGGUAUAGGGGCGAAAGACCAAUCGAACCAUCUAGUAGCUGGUUCCCUCUGAAGUUUCCCUCAGGAUAGCUUGCGCUUAGAUAAAGAAUCUCAUCCGGUAGAGCGAAUGAUUAGAGGCAUUGGGGUCGAAACGACCUCAACCUAUUCUCAAACUCCAAAUAGAUGAGAUCCCCGGCUUUCUUAAAAUUGAAGCCGUGGGAAUAGGAUCAGAGUGCCAAGUGGGCCAAUUUUGGUAAGCAGAACUGGGCCUGUGGGAA